CCUACGGGGGGCUGCAGUCGGGAAUUUUGGGCAAUGGGCGAAAGCCUGACCCAGCAACGCCGCGUGAAGGAUGAAGUAUUUCGGUAUGUAAACUUCGUAAGAAUGGGAAGAAUCAAUGACGGUACCAUUUGUAAGGUCCGGCUAACUACGUGCCAGCAGCCGCGGUAAUACGUAGGGACCAAGCGUUGUUCGGAUUUACUGGGCGUAAAGGGCGCGUAGGCGGCGUAUCAAGUCAAUUGUGAAAUCUCCGGGCUUAACUCGGAACGGUCAAUUGAUACUGAUGUGCUAGAGUGCAGAAAGGGCAGCUGGAAUUCUUGGUGUAGCGGUGAAAUGCGUAGAUAUCAAGAGGAACACCUGAGGCGAAGGCGAGUUGCUAGGCUGACACUGACGCUGAGGCGCGAAAGCUAGGGGAGCGAACGGGAUUAGAUACCCUGGUAGUC
This 440-nucleotide ribosomal RNA is filed under the name uncultured bacterium. RNAcentral's name for it is "bacterial SSU rRNA". It matches the Rfam family "Bacterial small subunit ribosomal RNA", at positions 338 to 795 of the family's 1533-position model. The record is from RNAcentral.